RNAcentral lists this ribosomal RNA (253 nucleotides) under uncultured bacterium. RNAcentral's name for it is "partial 16S ribosomal RNA". It matches the Rfam family "Bacterial small subunit ribosomal RNA", at positions 524 to 776 of the family's 1533-position model. The record is from RNAcentral.
UACGGGGGGGGCAAGCGUUGUUCGGAAUUACUGGGCGUAAAGGGCGCGUAGGCGGUCUUUUAAGUCUUGUGUGAAAUCCCUCGGCUUAACCGGGGAACUGCGUCUGAUACUGGAUGGCUUGAGUGUGGGAGAGGGAUGCGGAAUUCCAGGUGUAGCGGUGAAAUGCGUAGAUAUCUGGAGGAACACCGGUGGCGAAGGCGGCAUCCUGGACCAUUACUGACACUGAAAAGCGAAAGCCAGGGGAGCAAACGGG